RNAcentral lists this ribosomal RNA (253 nucleotides) under uncultured bacterium. RNAcentral describes it as "partial 16S ribosomal RNA". It matches the Rfam family "Bacterial small subunit ribosomal RNA", at positions 524 to 776 of the family's 1533-position model. The record is from RNAcentral.
UACGAAGGGGACUAGCGUUGUUCGGAAUCACUGGGCGUAAAGCGCACGUAGGCGGAUUCGUAAGUCAGGGGUGAAAUCCCGGGGCUCAACCUCGGAACUGCCUUUGAUACUGCGGGUCUUGAGUCCGAUAGAGGUGGGUGGAAUUCCUAGUGUAGAGGUGAAAUUCGUAGAUAUUAGGAAGAACACCGGUGGCGAAGGCGGCACGCUGGGCCGUACCUGACACUAAAACGCGACAGCAUGGGGAGCGAACGGG